AGUGAACGCUGGCGGCAUGCCUAACACAUGCAAGUCGAACGGCAGCACAGUAACUUCUUGCUCUUACCGGUUGCGGAACGGGUGAGUAAGACGAAUGCAUCCGACCCUUCUUUUUGGUGGGGGCUAACGUAGGCGAAGUUACGCCAAAACCGCAUACCACCUAACAGUGAAAGCAUGUGAUCUUCCGAGCUUUCGCGAUUGCAUGAGCCGAUGUCGGAUUAGCUAGUUGGCGGGGUAAAGGCCCACCAAGGCGACGAUCCGUAGCUGGUCUGAGAGGAUGAUCAGCCACACUGGAACUGAGACACGGUCCAGACUCCUACGGGAGGCAGCAGUGGGGAAUAUUGGACAAUGGGCGCAAGCCUGAUCCAGCAAUACCGCGUGGGUGAAGAAGGCCUUCGGGUUGUAAAGCCCUUUUGUUGGGAAAGAAAAGCUGCAGGCUAAUACGGAGCGGGUCUGACGGUACCGGAAGAAUAAGCACCGGCUAACUACGUG
RNAcentral lists this ribosomal RNA (492 nucleotides) under uncultured bacterium. RNAcentral's name for it is "partial 16S ribosomal RNA". It matches the Rfam family "Bacterial small subunit ribosomal RNA", at positions 29 to 507 of the family's 1533-position model. The record is from RNAcentral.